RNAcentral lists this ribosomal RNA (434 nucleotides) under Quadrastichus sp. RDB-1999. Its description in RNAcentral is "eukaryotic LSU rRNA". Lineage: Eukaryota; Metazoa; Arthropoda; Insecta; Hymenoptera; Eulophidae. The record is from RNAcentral.
CCUGAGAAACCCAAAAGAUCGAAUGGGGAGAUUCAUCGUCAGCGGCGUUGGCUUCCGUGCGGCUCGCGAUGGUCGGGGCUUCGGUCUCGCGCCACGCGGUCGCCGCGGUAUGUCCGGCGUCGUCGGCGUGCACUUCUCCCCUAGUAGGACGUCGCGACCCGUUGGGUGUCGGACCAAUGGCCGGUCGGUCGUCUGUUUUCGCCUUUACCGGCGUUGGCAGACCGAUCGGUUUAACGUCCGACUGCCCGGCGGUAUAGAACGCUUAAUCACGGUAUUGGGCCGCAACUCGAAUGCGUUCCUGGCUCGUCGGCAGGCUCGUCUCGCUCGGAUUUACGGACCUAGCGCCGUUGCCGGGCGCUUGGCGCGGCUGUUAGUCGACGAUGUCCUCGGACUGGCUCUUACCCGUCUGCGACGCUACUGCUUUGGGUACUUUC